Molecule: ribosomal RNA, 442 nt
Filed under: uncultured bacterium
Lineage: Bacteria
Description: bacterial SSU rRNA
Rfam family: Bacterial small subunit ribosomal RNA
Source: RNAcentral
GAUGAACGCUAGCUACAGGCUUAACACAUGCAAGUCGAGGGGAAACGAUAGGGAAAGCUUGCUUUUCCUAGGCGUCGACCGGCGCACGGGUGAGUAACGCGUAUCCAACCUGCCCAUGUCUGGGGAAUAACCCGUCGAAAGGCGGACUAACUCCCCAUGGUCUCCGAUGAGGACAUCUGAAUUGGAGUAAAGCUUCGCGGACAUGGAUGGGGAUGCGUCUGAUUAGGUAGUAGGCGGGGUAACGGCCCACCUAGCCUACGAUCAGUAGGGGUUCUGAGAGGAAGGUCCCCCACAUUGGAACUGAGACACGGUCCAAACUCCUACGGGAGGCAGCAGUGAGGAAUAUUGGUCAAUGGACGAGAGUCUGAACCAGCCAAGUAGCGUGCAGGAUGACGGCCCUAUGGGUUGUAAACUGCUUUUGCGCGGGGAUAACACCCUCCAC